Callithrix jacchus (white-tufted-ear marmoset) is the source of this 2845-nucleotide long non-coding RNA. Lineage: Eukaryota; Metazoa; Chordata; Mammalia; Primates; Cebidae. The record is from Ensembl.
CCCCUGGACUCUACAUGUUCUCCCUGCCCAUCCUACUGUCACUGCCCUUCUAAUACUGUCCACUCUGCCCACUGAAGCCUCUACUCCACAGUAAAUAAGCUCUCCCCUUGGUCUUCAGCCUUUCCUAGAUCUCCCUUAGCUGUAUGACUGAAAUGAAAUCAGAACUCCCUGAAAUGUGUGAUGGGGAUAAGCUGGAAACAAUGUCUAACUUCUCAUGCCUAUGUGCCUACUCUGUUCUACUCUAGUGUAAAAACAUUGUGGUGUUUUUCCUUUUGUUUUGUAGAGACAGGAUCUCAUUUGAUCACCCAGGCUGGAGAAUGCAGUGGUACGAUCACAGCUCAUUGUAACCUGGAACUCCUGGGCUCAAACACUUCUCCCGCCUCAGUCUCCCACGUGAGUUUACAGGCUAGUUCACAAUACAGUUGCAAAGUUCUGUAUCUAAGUAGCAUUAUUGUCAUUUUAUAAUGGUGGAACUUGGGGACAGGCAGUAGAUCAAAGUUCAGAAUCUUGGGCUUUGUUUUCUUCCGUCCCUUAUACAGAGGUUGCUUAGCACAGAUACUGAACUCUUAACUGAGAUGAGUUAUUACCAUCAUUUUUAAUCUGUUUCUUCACAGUCUGCUUUUUGUCUGGAUUCUGUCAUACAGCAUAACAAAGAAGCAGAUCCCUAAUGAAUUCAGAGCCGGCCAGUUAGUUCCUGGAUACGUAGCAGGUCCUUGUUAAUCCAGUUAGGUAUAGCAGGUUACUCAUUCUUCUCAUUUCUGCCCUUUACCUUGCCCUCCACUAAGAUUUCUAAUUUUAUUGCAGAAAGAUCUACCUUUUAGCAAUGAAGAAAUCAUUGUUAUUAUUUUUAAAAAGCAAUAGCAGUGAGAGUAAUUCUAGGCAAAGUGUUACAGAAAAAGUAAACAGCAUGAGAUGGCAGUUCUACGAUUCCCUACAAGACCAUCUGUUUUCCCAAUGAAAAAUCUAGUGCUUCCUCGAGUUAUGUUUUAAAAGGUUUAAGCAAUCAUUCAGAUAAUCAGACUUCAUUGCUGUGAAAUUUCAUCAAAGUGUACUCAAUCCUUGAACUCAUAUCUGGGUCCAUUUUGCCAAUCAGAUAAAACUUCCUAGGCUUUUUCCUAGAGGCAUGAGUGGUUAACUUGAUCUUAUUGCACUGCAAAAGAUUUUAUGCUACACAUCAUUUUUCAUAAAAGCUAUUUGUUGUGUUAGGAGAACUCCAGAGAGACUGCUUGUUAGAAUAGAUUUUGGGGGUGACGGUGGGCCAGAACUUGCUCUGUUUUGUUGCUUUGGACCAAGUGAUAAUUCUUAGAAAUUCUUACAGGUUAACCUCAGAGGAAAUGAGGAGGCAAAAGGGUGAAACAGAGGAAAUUAGCGUCUUAGUAGUUAUUUCUCAUGAACAGACCAAUAAUUAUUUAAACAAACAAAGAAACAAAAACCAAGUAAAUCCUUAAUUUGGAAGCACUGCAUGUCUUUGUUUUAAGAUUGUCACUUGCUUCUUCUUUUAGUUGGCAUAGGGGUUAAAGGCACCUGACUCCUUUCUUUUUUUUCUUUGUAAAGGUCAGCCAACGCAUACCCACUCUUGUCCACACCAGCACAAACAGCCUUUGCAUUGAAAAAGCACUAGGUGGUGCCCAUUUUCUUUGCCGGUGAAAGGGCUGGAUUUCCCCAAAGGGAGUCACUCUGGGGAAGUUCAUCAGGCCCCAGCCCACACAGCACAGUGCACUUUUCUCCUCUCACAGAUGACCAGGAGCGUAGUGUCACAGUCUGUCCCUUCUCUGAGGCAUCCUGGGGCUUGCCUGUUUUAGGACAGAGCUUUGAUUCGGGAAGACAGUGUUUUUACAUGUGAGGGUAGGAGUGGAGUAGGGGGUGGUGGCCAAAAGCUUCGAGUAUUCCCUUUGAAAAUGAAAGAUAAGAGGAAUAAAGGCUGCAACCCUGCCAUCUGCGUUUGUAAAAAGUCAUAGUAUAUCUCUGCCAAGGCUUUCCUCCUGCCAGAUCAUCUGGACAAUCCAGUGCACAUGCUAAUUUUAUUUUUUUCCCCUUUUGCCUGUAGUCAAACUGUGAAAAUAAUAAAAGAAAAUGAAGGUUAAUCUUAAAUUUCAAUUUGUUUUUUCACCAAAAUAAUUCUUUGUCAAAUAAAGUAUGGCUAAAUUGAAGAUUUUGCAUGCCCAUGUCUCCCCCAAAUACCUACCGUUUGAAGACAUGGCUUUAUACUACUGAGUUCUUUCCUUUAAAAAAAUCUUAUUAGGCACGCUUAACAGAUUGUUGCUUUGUGUUCAAGGAGAGCAGAUAACUGGCUAAGAAGAUUUUUUUUCCAGAAUAAUUUUAUUCAGGUGAUAUGCCCAUCAGAUCUGUUUUAGAAUGUAGAACUGUUUACCAAGUUUUUGUUCUUGUAAAGAUCUGGGAACAGCAAUUGAGCAUAAUCAUGCUAUUGUCAUAAAAAAGAAAGAAGAAAAGAACAUAACAAUUUCUUUUUUCUAGUAGACAUAUGUCUUGUCUAUCUAUAACCUAUUCCUUGAAAUUUGGCCAAGUAGAGUUAGUUUGUUCAAAUGUAUUUAUUUUGUUUUAGAGAAGGCAAUAAAAUUGUUUUUUUAGAAAGUCAAAAAAGUAGAUUCUUGUAGUAAAAUCUGAAUCUUUCUUCACAGGUUGGUGAACCAUACUCCAAUAGAAAGGGGAAAUAUGACUGUGAAUAGUUUGAAAAAGUUGAACUAAGAGAAAAGCUUUAUUAUGAAACUAUGAGGAUUAUUUCUGUGCACUGGCUGCCCCGUCAUAUGUCAUGGCAUGUGGCGGGUUGACUGCUCAUUAAUUCUAUUUAUAUCAGUAUGAUAAUCCACCCCACUGAGUGCACAUG